CCUCUACCAAAUGUGCUAUGUGGUGUACAAUCUGGCAACAUUGGCAUUUUGACUGGGUGUCGGUUUGAUGGUAGCAAAAGGCAGAGAAGCCCUUGGGAUCAGGCUGGACUGUCCCCGCCUUGGAAUCAUGCAAGAGUCUGCUCAUUCUCUGUCCCUUUCAUUACCGUGCGUUGGGUGCUUUGAGGGAAACACCUGAGCCGGGCAGGAGCUCCUGCUGUUACUUCUCAGGCUUCUCAUUUAAAGACAUCCCUAUAGAUGUGACUCAGAGGAACUGUGUGGAUCAGUGUUCUCUUUGUUAAGAGGGGAAACAGAGGUGACAUCUGAGGACACGCCUUGAGGCUGCUUGGCCACUAGAAUCUCUUGGGAAGGCCCAGCCACUCCUUUUGUUUUUGGCUUUGUAGGGCUGCACUCGCGGCAUAUGGAGGUUCCCAGACUAGGGGUCAAUUGAAGCUACAGCUGCCACCCUACACCACAGCCACAGCAACUCGGGAUCCAAGCCGCAUGUGCAGCCUACACCACGGCUCACGGCAACGCCCAGACACUCUUGAAGACGGUCCCUUAUGAGAGAUGGGAAAGAGUCUGUUACAUGGCCUCAAAUUUUCACGAGCUGUCCCUUCAACCUGGGUGCCUUCCUGAAAACAGUGUUUUCAGAGAGAGACUGGCACACUUGCAGAGAAUACACUUAAAACUGGAUUUGCAGCUCUAGGAUUUUGAUUCGAAAACCAAGAAUGUUCAUGGACACCCAUAUUAUUUCAUUGGAUGCAUCUAUGGGAGUGUGUUGAGUUCCAAGUGAAGCCCAGCCUUUGUGGGCCACGGGUGGUGUACCAUUUGUCAACCAUAUUUUUCUGUCUCUAAAGAAAUCUGCCUUCUGCUUUUGGAAAGAGACACGGUCUCUGUCUUUCAAGGCUGUUUGCUACACAAACAUCCUUGGAAACACAGUCCAGAGCAAAAGAUGUCAGUGCAUCUUCAGAAGCAUGAGAUAGCCAUACCUCAGUGUUCAAAGCGGCAGUAUUGAUGAUAGGCAAGAUGUGGAAGCAGCUCAAGUGACCAUUGCAGAGGAAUGGUUAAAGAAGAUACGGUACAUAUAAACAAUGGAAUACUACUCAGCCACAAAAAGGACAAAACAAUGCCAUUUGCAGCAACCUGAAUGGACCUAAAGAUUAUCAUGUGAGUGAAGUCAGUCAGAAGGAGAAAGAUAGAUACCAUGUGAUAUCAGUUGUGUGUGAAAUCUAAAAAAUGAUACAAUGAUCUUAUUUACAAAACAGAAACAGACUCACAGACAUAGAAAACAAAGUUAAGGUUACUGAAGGAGAGUGGGAGGAGGGAUAAAUUGGGAGUUUGGGAUUAACAGAUGUGCAUUACUGUAUUGAAAAUAAACAAGGAUUUACUGAAUAGCAUAGGGACUGAUAGUCAGUAUCUUGUAAUAAGUUAUAAUGGAAAAGAACCAAAAUUUCCAUGAGGAUGUGGGUUUGAGCCUUGGCCUGGCUCAGUGGGUUAAGGAUCCGUGUUGCCAUGGUUGUGGCGUUGACGGGCAGCUGGAGCUCCAAUUUGACCCCUAGCCUGGGAACCUCCAUGUGCCUCGGGUACAGCCCUACAAAGCAAACAAACAAACAUACAAACAAAAAAAACAAGGUCGUGUUCAUUUCUGCUGCAUAGCAAAACGCGAUUCAGUUAAAGCUGUACACAUAGCCAUUCCUUUUCAGAUUCUUAUCCCAUAUAAGUUGUCGCAGAAUAUUUAGUUCCCAUUGACCAUUAGUUCCAUGUUCAACAGAGUGUAUAUGCCAGUUCCAAACCCCCAGUCCCUCCUCCUCCCAGCCUUUCCCCUCGGGUAACCGUACGUUUGAUUUUGAGGUCCGUGAGUCUGUUCCCGUUUCUUAAAUAAGUUCAUUUGUACCAUUUUUUAAAAAGGAUUCCAUGUAGAGGUGAUAUCGUAGGAUGUUUGUCUUUCUCUAGCUCACUUCACUUAGUAUAUAAUCUCUAGGUCCAUCCAUACGGUUCAUUUUUAAUUGUAAAAAAUACUAGUUUGCUUUGCCAAGAACCACUUAAAAUAUGCAAAGAUUCUUUGAUAGUCCUGGUCCCCCCCGGUCCCUCCCCAUCCUCGGCAGACACGUCUGUCCAGGUGACAGCUUCAUGGAAGUCACGUUGAUGGGCUGGUGACGUGACCACGCACAGAAACGCCCUCCCUGGGGGCGCAGUCUCGUUUUCUCGCGUUCUUGCAUUUGCUUCUGGGCCAUGCACUUCGGGGGAUGAGCAAAUGCAUAUUGAAUGGUAGAACACGCAGAUGCUAUUUCCUAGACUUGGUCCUCCCUGCACAGGACAGGCUCAGUCUUCCUGCUUUGGGAAAUCGUGACGGCAGGGGUCGCAGAGGUGCCUGCAGGAGUCAGCUUCUCUCACCCGAACGUUUCCAGCUUUCGCUCUUUGACUUGCCCUCUUGUGAAGUGGCUUCACCAGUGGCUCUUGAAUCUGCUCUUGUGUGAAGCUGUUAUUCAGAGGCCCUUGUCCUUGAGGGUGUCCGCCUGCCAGCAAAGGCGGUGUGCUCACUGCCUCUGGGUCACUAAUCACCUCACUGGGACCCCGCUGAAUCCAGGUGGGACCAAAGAUGUUUGCAGCCCCAUGGCUUAGAUGGAACACAGAUUUUUGCUUUGCCUGAAACAAUGGCCGUUUCAAAGGAAAUAGAAAAGAAUUUCAUCACUUUGAAGUGUUUUGCAGCUACUCUGGUUUUGAAGGAAACUCAUGCACAGAAAUACAGAUAUUAUUCUUUUCCUGAAAUUCCUAGUCGUAUCUUUGGCAUGACUAUUUUAAUGUAUCCAAUCAGUUCACAAGAAUUUUUAAAGUAAAAAAAAAAUGCCCAGAGGGAGUUCCCAUUGUGGCUCUGUAGGUUAAGAACCUGACAUAAUGUCCACGAGGAUGUGGGUUCAAUCCCUGGCCACACUUUGAGUUAAGGACUGGCUUUGCAGAAAGCUGUGGUGUAGGUCACAGAUGUGGCUCGGAUCCUGCAUGGCUGUGGCUGUGGUGUAGGCCGGCAGCUGCAGCUCCGAUU
RNAcentral lists this long non-coding RNA (3040 nucleotides) under Sus scrofa (pig). RNAcentral describes it as "lncRNA (ENSSSCG00055020521.1)". Lineage: Eukaryota; Metazoa; Chordata; Mammalia; Artiodactyla; Suidae. The record is from RNAcentral.